Molecule: transfer RNA, 77 nt
Filed under: Lysobacterales bacterium
Lineage: Bacteria; Pseudomonadati; Pseudomonadota; Gammaproteobacteria; Lysobacterales
Description: tRNA-Leu
Rfam family: tRNA
About the family: Transfer RNA (tRNA) molecules are approximately 80 nucleotides in length. Their secondary structure includes four short double-helical elements and three loops (D, anti-codon, and T loops).
Source: RNAcentral
GCCCAGGUGACGCAAUUGGUAGACGUUCCGGUCUCAGAAGCCGGCUGUUGUGGGUUCGAAUCCCACCCUGGGCACCA